UGGGGAAUAUUGGACAAUGGGCGAAAGCCUGAUCCAGCCAUGCCGCGUGUGUGAAGAAGGCCUUUUGGUUGUAAAGCACUUUAAGCGAGGAGGAGGCUACCGAGAUUAAUACUCUUGGAUAGUGGACGUUACUCGCAGAAUAAGCACCGGCUAACUCUGUGCCAGCAGCCGCGGUAAUACAGAGGGUGCGAGCGUUAAUCGGAUUUACUGGGCGUAAAGCGUGCGUAGGCGGCUUUUUAAGUCGGAUGUGAAAUCCCUGAGCUUAACUUAGGAAUUGCAUUCGAUACUGGGAAGCUAGAGUAUGGGAGAGGAUGGUAGAAUUCCAGGUGUAGCGGUGAAAUGCGUAGAGAUCUGGAGGAAUACCGAUGGCGAAGGCAGCCAUCUGGCCUAAUACUGACGCUGAGGUACGAAAGCAUGGGGAGCAAACAGG
Molecule: ribosomal RNA, 430 nt
Filed under: Caulobacter vibrioides
Lineage: Bacteria; Pseudomonadati; Pseudomonadota; Alphaproteobacteria; Caulobacterales; Caulobacteraceae
Also listed under: 4 other names
Description: partial 16S ribosomal RNA
Rfam family: Bacterial small subunit ribosomal RNA
Source: RNAcentral